GAUGAACGCUGGCGGCGUGCCUAAUACAUGCAAGUCGAGCGAACAGAUAAGGAGCUUGCUCCUUUGACGUUAGCGGCGGACGGGUGAGUAACACGUGGGUAACCUACCUAUCAGACUGGAAUAACUCCGGGAAACCGGGGCUAAUGCCGGAUAACAUUUAGAACCGCAUGGUUCUAAAGUGAAAGAUGGUUUUGCUAUCACUUAUCGAUGGACCCGCGCCGUAUUAGCUAGUUGGUAAGGUAACGGCUUACCAAGGCAACGAUACGUAGCCGACCUGAGAGGGUGAUCGGCCACACUGGAACUGAGACACGGUCAAGACUCCUACGGGAGGCAGCAGUAGGGAAUCUUCCGCAAUGGGCGAAAGCCUGACGGAGCAACGCCGCGUGAGUGAUGAAGGUCUUCGGAUCGUAAAACUCUGUUAUUAGGGAAGAACAAAUGUGUAAGUAACUGUGCACGUCUUGACGGUACCUAAUCAGAAAGCCACGGCUAACUACGUG
RNAcentral lists this ribosomal RNA (497 nucleotides) under uncultured bacterium. Its description in RNAcentral is "partial 16S ribosomal RNA". It matches the Rfam family "Bacterial small subunit ribosomal RNA", at positions 28 to 507 of the family's 1533-position model. The record is from RNAcentral.